GGCGGCGGCUUAACACAUGCAAGUCGAGCGGUAGCACARGRGAGCUUGCUCUCUGGGUGACGAGCGGCGGACGGGUGAGUAAUGUCUGGGAAACUGCCUGAUGGAGGGGGAUAACUACUGGAAACGGUAGCUAAUACCGCAUAACGUCGCAAGACCAAAGAGGGGGACCUUCGGGCCUCUUGCCAUCAGAUGUGCCCAGAUGGGAUUAGCUAGUAGGUGGGGUAAUGGCUCACCUAGGCGACGAUCCCUAGCUGGUCUGAGAGGAUGACCAGCCACACUGGAACUGAGACACGGUCCAGACUCCUACGGGAGGCAGCAGUGGGGAAUAUUGCACAAUGGGCGCAAGCCUGAUGCAGCCAUGCCGCGUGUGUGAAGAAGGCCUUCGGGUUGUAAAGCACUUUCAGCGAGGAGGAAGGUGGUGARCUUAAUACGYUCAUCAAUUGACGUUACUCGCAGAAGAAGCACCGGCUAACUCCGUGCCAGCAGCCGCRGRGUAAUACA
Molecule: ribosomal RNA, 501 nt
Filed under: bacterium SNB-CN10
Lineage: Bacteria
Description: bacterial SSU rRNA
Rfam family: Bacterial small subunit ribosomal RNA
Source: RNAcentral